This 517-nucleotide ribosomal RNA is filed under the name uncultured Staphylococcus sp. RNAcentral describes it as "bacterial SSU rRNA". It matches the Rfam family "Bacterial small subunit ribosomal RNA", at positions 8 to 507 of the family's 1533-position model. Lineage: Bacteria; Bacillati; Bacillota; Bacilli; Caryophanales; Staphylococcaceae. The record is from RNAcentral.
AGAGUUUGAUCCUGGCUCAGGAUGAACGCUGGCGGCGUGCCUAAUACAUGCAAGUCGAGCGAACAGAUAAGGAGCUUGCUCCUUUGACGUUAGCGGCGGACGGGUGAGUAACACGUGGGUAACCUACCUAUAAGACUGGAAUAACUCCGGGAAACCGGGGCUAAUGCCGGAUAAUAUUUAGAACCGCAUGGUUCUAAAGUGAAAGAUGGUUUUACUAUCACUUAUAGAUGGACCCGCGCCGUAUUAGCUAGUUGGUGGGGUAAUGGCUUACCAAGGCAACGAUACGUAGCCGACCUGAGAGGGUGAUCGGCCACACUGGAACUGAGACACGGUCCAGACUCCUACGGGAGGCAGCAGUAGGGAAUCUUCCGCAAUGGGCGAAAGCCUGACGGAGCAACGCCGCGUGAGUGACGAAGGUCUUCGGAUCGUAAAACUCUGUUAUUAGGGAAGAACAAAUGUGUAAGUAACUGUGCACGUCUUGACGGUACCUAAUCAGAAAGCCACGGCUAACUACGUG